Molecule: non-coding RNA, 180 nt
Organism: Pimephales promelas (fathead minnow)
Lineage: Eukaryota; Metazoa; Chordata; Actinopteri; Cypriniformes; Leuciscidae
Source: RefSeq, a predicted model, not a curated record
CUUCCAGAACAGGAGACUGUUGUUGUCUUAAAUUUGGAGACUAUUCCAGACCCUCCACCUCAACAAGUUGAAGCUCUUCUGCCAACCAGCCCUGCCACCGACACCAAUGAGGGGGGACAGAUUGAGACAGUUGAAGCUCUGCCAACCAGCCCUGCCACCGACACCAACAGGGGGGGGGGG